This 64-nucleotide transfer RNA is filed under the name Laodelphax striatellus (small brown planthopper). Its description in RNAcentral is "tRNA-Ser". Lineage: Eukaryota; Metazoa; Arthropoda; Insecta; Hemiptera; Delphacidae. The record is from RNAcentral.
UAAACGAAGUUUAAAAGGAAGCCGCUAACUUCCUAAAAACUUUAAAUUGUUAAGUUUUGUUUAU